CCUACGGGGGGCUGCAGUGGGGAAUAUUGGACAAUGGGGGCAACCCUGAUCCAGCCAUGCCGCGUGUGUGAAGAAGGCCCUCGGGUUGUAAAGCACUUUCAGUGAGGAAGAACGCCUGGUGGUUAAUACCCAUCAGGAAAGACAUCACUCACAGAAGAAGCACCGGCUAACUCCGUGCCAGCAGCCGCGGUAAUACGGAGGGUGCGAGCGUUAAUCGGAAUUACUGGGCGUAAAGCGCGCGUAGGUGGCUUGAUAAGCCGGUUGUGAAAGCCCCAGGCUCAACCUGGGAACGGCAUCCGGAACUGUCAAGCUAGAGUGCAGGAGAGGAAGGUAGAAUUCCCGGUGUAGCGGUGAAAUGCGUAGAGAUCGGGAGGAAUACCAGUGGCGAAGGCGGCCUUCUGGACUGACACUGACACUGAGGUGCGAAAGCGUGGGUAGCAAACAGGAUUAGAUACCCUAGUAGUC
This 465-nucleotide ribosomal RNA is filed under the name Vreelandella stevensii. RNAcentral describes it as "partial 16S ribosomal RNA". It matches the Rfam family "Bacterial small subunit ribosomal RNA", at positions 338 to 795 of the family's 1533-position model. Lineage: Bacteria; Pseudomonadati; Pseudomonadota; Gammaproteobacteria; Oceanospirillales; Halomonadaceae. The record is from RNAcentral.